AAGUAAGAAAACAAUUUAUGUAACCAGUUUCGACCUGGUAAUAGAUAUUAUUUAUAUCCUUAUUUU
RNAcentral lists this transfer RNA (66 nucleotides) under Sinomiopteryx guangxiensis. RNAcentral's name for it is "tRNA-Arg". Lineage: Eukaryota; Metazoa; Arthropoda; Insecta; Mantodea; Thespidae. The record is from RNAcentral.